AAUAAGCUAAAUAAGGGCGUAUGGGGAAUGCCUAGGCUCUCAGAGGCGAUGAAGGACGUGAUAAGCUGCGAAAAGCUGCGGGGAUUGGCACAUACAAAUUGAUCCGCAGAUAUCCGAAUGGGGCAACCCACUAUACUGAAGGUAUAGUAUCCGCAAGGAGGCAAACCCGGAGAACUGAAACAUCUAAGUACCCGGAGGAAGAGAAAACAAUAGUGAUUCCGAUAGUAGCGGCGAGCGAACUCGGAAUAGCCCAAACCGAUUCUGUUACGGCAGGAUCGGGGUUGUAGGACCACGACAUUUUAUGCGUAAUGAAUUAGAACACUUUGGAAAGAGUGGCCAUAGACGGUGAUAGCCCGGUAUAGGUAAAGAGCGUUAUAGAUAGUGGUAUCCUGAGUAGUGCGGGGCACGUGAAACCCUGUAUGAAUCUGGCGGGACCAUCCGCUAAGGCUAAAUACUCCUGAGAGACCGAUAGUGAACCAGUACCGUGAGGGAAAGGUGAAAAGAACCCUGAACAAGGGAGUGAAAUAGACCCUGAAACCAUACGCUUACAAGCGGUCGGAGCCCUUUUGGGUGACGGCGUGCCUUUUGCAUAAUGAGCCUACGAGUUACUUUAUCUAGCAAGGUUAAGAUGUUCAGCAUCGGAUCCGUAGCGAAAGCGAGUCUUAAUAGGGCGUUUAGUUAGGUUGAGUAGACGCGAAACCGUGUGAUCUACCCUUGGGCAGGUUGAAGCUGUGGUAACACAUAGUGGAGGACCGAACCCGUUGACGUUGAAAAGUCUUGGGAUGACCUGAGGGUAGGGGUGAAAGGCCAAUCAAACUCGGAAAUAGCUCGUACUCCCCGAAAUGCAUUUAGGUGCAGCGUUGAUUUAUAGUUUUAUAGAGGUAGAGCUACUGAUUGGAUGCGGGGGCUUCACCGCCUACCAAUUCCUGACAAACUCCGAAUGCUAUAAAAUGUUGAUCAGCAGUGAGGGCAUGGGUGCUAAGGUCCAUGUCCGAGAGGGAAAGAACCCAGACCAUCAGCUAAGGUCCCCAAAUGUAUGUUAAGUUGAAAAAACGCGGUUGGACUGCCCAGACAGCUAGGAUGUUGGCUUGGAAGCAGCCAUUCAUUUAAAGAGUGCGUAACAGCUCACUAGUCGAGCGAUCCGGCAUGGAUAAUAAUCGGGCAUAAACAUACUACCGAAGCUAUGGCAUCGUAAGAUGGGUAGGGGAGCAUUGUAACAAAGUUGAAGGUUUACUGUGAGGUAAGCUGGAUUGG
This 1254-nucleotide ribosomal RNA is filed under the name Erythrobacter sp. RNAcentral's name for it is "partial 23S ribosomal RNA". It matches the Rfam family "Bacterial large subunit ribosomal RNA", at positions 1 to 1281 of the family's 2925-position model. The record is from RNAcentral. Lineage: Bacteria; Pseudomonadati; Pseudomonadota; Alphaproteobacteria; Sphingomonadales; Erythrobacteraceae.